CCUACGGGAGGCUGCAGUGAGGAAUAUUGGUCAAUGGACGAGAGUCUGAACCAGCCAAGUAGCGUGAAGGAUGACUGCCCUAUGGGUUGUAAACUUCUUUUAUAUGGGAAUAAAACGCUCCACGUGUGGGAUUUUGUAUGUACCAUAUGAAUAAGGAUCGGCUAACUCCGUGCCAGCAGCCGCGGUAAUACGGAGGAUCCGAGCGUUAUCCGGAUUUAUUGGGUUUAAAGGGAGCGUAGGUGGAUUGUUAAGUCAGUUGUGAAAGUUUGCGGCUCAACCGUAAAAUUGCAGUUGAAACUGGCAGUCUUGAGUACAGUAGAGGUGGGCGGAAUUCGUGGUGUAGCGGUGAAAUGCUUAGAUAGCACGAAGAACUCCGAUUGCGAAGGCAGUUCACUGGACUGCAACUGACACUGAGGCUCGAAAGUGUGGGUAUCAAACAGGAUUAGAUACCCGGGUAGUC
Molecule: ribosomal RNA, 460 nt
Filed under: uncultured bacterium
Lineage: Bacteria
Description: partial 16S ribosomal RNA
Rfam family: Bacterial small subunit ribosomal RNA
Source: RNAcentral